CCUACGGGAGGCAGCAGUAAGGAAUAUUGGUCAAUGGGCGCAAGCCUGAACCAGCCAUGCCGCGUGCAGGAUGACGGCCCUCUGGGUUGUAAACUGCUUUUAUACGGGAAGAACAGCAUCUACGUGUAGGUGUUUGACGGUACUGUAAGAAUAAGGACCGGCUAACUUCGUGCCAGCAGCCGCGGUAAUACGAAGGGUCCAAGCGUUAUCCGGAUUUAUUGGGUUUAAAGGGUGCGUAGGCGGCUUUUUAAGUCAGUGGUGAAAGCCUGAUGCUCAACAUCAGAACUGCCAUUGAUACUGAAGAGCUUGAGUACAGUUGAGGUUGGCGGAAUGUGUCAUGUAGCGGUGAAAUGCUUAGGUAUGACACAGAACACCGAUUGCGAAGGCAGCUAGCUAAGCUGUUACUGACGCUGAUGCACGAAAGCGUGGGGAGCAAACAGGAUUAGAUACCCUGGUAGUCCACGCCCUAAACCGUUGAUAACUCGUUGUUAGCGAUAUACUGUUAGCGACCAAGCGAAAGCAUUAAGUUAUCCACCUGGGAAGUACGGUGCAAGAUUGAAACUCAAAGAUUAGACGGACGNGAGAGAGCGACGGACGACGACGAGGGAGGGAGG
RNAcentral lists this ribosomal RNA (614 nucleotides) under uncultured bacterium. RNAcentral describes it as "bacterial SSU rRNA". It matches the Rfam family "Bacterial small subunit ribosomal RNA", at positions 338 to 956 of the family's 1533-position model. The record is from RNAcentral.